GGGAGUAGUGUGGGAGGAGGUUGAGGCUUUCUCUAGCUUGAGUGGUUUUGAGCAUGUUACCCUGUGCUGGAUGAAAAUAGUCCUACCAGCAAUUGUACAUCUUUGGGAAUGCUGCCUUAACUCUGUGUCCCAUCCUGAAGAGCCAGACAUCAAUGAAGCCAUGGGGGUCUCAAGGACCAAGAAGACAAAGGACAGCAGCAGUCGAAAACAAAAGAGCAAGUUGGAGAAGGGGCAGGGGAUGCCGAAGACAAGUCAGGUGAAGGAGCAACCAGAAGAAAUACCAUGCAUGGGGCAGGCUGCUGUACUGAAAGGGAAGAAGAAAGUCAAGGAGAAGCCACUGCAGGAGAACACCAUCAGUAGAAGCUCUCUAAGGCGUGAGGUUGCAGAAGAAAAAGAUCUCGACUCAAUGCGGCAGGAUGGGAUUCAAGUGAAGGAGGCAGCUUCAUCCUUGUUGGAGGAAACUGAUUCCACCCUCCACCAAGGGUCAUCAGUGGGACUGAAGGACUCCUCCAGGUCAAAGAGUAAAUCCUGGAGAGAGGGACCUGCAGUGGGACAGCAGCUCUCAGAGGCAGAGGAUGAAGUUGGGCUCCUCAAGCCAAGUAGAGGUGAUAAUGGUGUAGCUGAAUUCCUCUCUGGAGAGCCUGGGGCUUCAAGGUUGGCUGUGGAGGUCACUGCUUCGAUGGAGAGUGUGGAGAAGGAACUAGACCCUCAUGUUCCAAUGCAGAAAGGGGAUGCCAGAGGCAUGAAAAGAAAAAAACAAACAGAGAAGAAGCAAGAGCCAAAGAAGCAGAGGGAGAAUUUGCUGAGAAAAGGAGAGACCAAAAAGGAUAAGUUAGAGGAAAGCCUUGGGAAUGUGAUGGAGGACAUCAGGGAAGAAGAUGGUGCUGAUGGGGACAGGAAUUGUGGAGUCAGACAGGAUAAAGCCAAGCAAGGGAGCAGCAGCACAUGGGGAAGGGCUGAUGAGAGGGAAAAGCAGAAAGGGAGAGGGGAGAAGCGCAAGAAGGUAAAAGUGGAGGAGGAGGAGCAGGGGAGGAAGAAAAUAAAGAAGGAGAAAAAGGUGGAAGAGAAGCAAGAGCUGGAAAGCUUGGGUGAGGAAUUAGGAGUGAGAGACGAAGAAAAGGAAAGUGAAGAUGGAAAAGGAAUAAAGGAGGAGGAGGUGGAUAAACAGGGAGAAAAGGGAUGGGGGCAGAGUCAGAGCAUGGAGACUGAGGAUAAGGAGGUGGGGAAUGGAGAUGUGCUGGAGAAAAAGCAGAAAGAUAAGGAGAAAAAGCCAAAAGAGAAAAAGAAAGACAAAGAGAAGGGGAAGAAAGGCAAAGAGGAAGAGACCCCAAAGAAAACCCAGAAAAGAAAAUCUAAGGAUGAAGGAGAGGAGAAUAACAACAAAAGGGUUAAAAAGGAGGGAAAAGAAAAAGAAAAGAAAGAAGAAACAGAAAACAAGUGGAAAUGGUGGGAAGAAGAGAAGACAAACGAUGGGGUGAAGUGGAAACAGCUGGAACACAAAGGACCCUACUUUGUCCCUCUCUACGAGCCUCUGCCUGAUGAUGUGCAAUUUUAUUAUGAUGGUAAACCCCUGAAGCUGAGCCUGGCCACGGAGGAAAUUGCCACUUUCUAUGCAAAAAUGCUUGAUCAUGAGUACACAACUAAAGAGAUCUUCCAGAACAACUUUUUUAAUGAUUGGAGGAAGGAGAUGACACCUCAGGAACAAGAGAUAAUCAAGCAGUUGGACAAGUGUGACUUCAGGGAGAUUCAUAAGUACUUUGUGGACAAAAAUGAGGCACGGAAAGCACUCUCCAAAGAGGAGAAGCAGAAACUGAAGGAGGAGGCAGAUAAGAUCCAGGAGGAGUAUGGAUACUGCAUCCUUGAUGGGCACAGGGAGAAGAUAGGCAACUUCAAAACUGAGCCUCCAGGGCUGUUCCGUGGACGUGGUGAUCACCCCAAAAUGGGCAUGCUGAAGAAGAGGAUUAUGCCAGAAGAUGUGAUCAUCAACUGUAGCAAGGACUCCAAGAUCCCUGAGCCACCAGUGGGGCAUAAAUGGAAGGAAGUACGCUUUGACAACACAGUCACCUGGCUGGCCUCGUGGACUGAAAACAUCCAGAACUCCUUAAAGUACAUCAUGCUGAACCCGAGCUCCAAGCUGAAGGGGGAAAAGGACUGGCAGAAGUUUGAGGUAGCCCGGAGACUAAAGGAUGUUGUCCACAAAAUCCGUGCUCAGUACCAGGCUGACUGGAAGUCCAAGGAGAUGAGGAAGCGACAAAGAGCAGUGGCUCUCUACUUCAUUGAUAAGCUGGCCCUGAGAGCUGGUAAUGAGAAAGAAGAAGGGGAGACUGCAGACACAGUUGGCUGCUGUUCCCUACGUGUGGAGCACAUCAAGCUGCACUCUAAGCUGGAUGGGCAGGAGCAUGUGGUGGAGUUUGACUUCCUUGGGAAAGACUCCAUCCGCUAUUACAACAAAGUAUCAGUGGAAAAGCCAGUGUUCAAGAACCUGCAGCUGUUCGUGAAGAACAAAGACCCGGGUGAUGACCUCUUUGAUAGGCUCUCUACAACCGUCUUGAACAAACACCUUCAGAAGCUGAUGAAUGGUUUGACUGCCAAAGUGUUCAGGACCUACAAUGCUUCCAUCACCUUGCAGGAGCAGCUCAAGGCCCUCACUAACCCUGAAGACAGUGUUGCUGAAAAGCUUCUCUCCUACAACCGAGCAAACCGAGCUGUGGCCAUCCUGUGCAACCAUCAGAGAUCCACGCCGAAAACCUUUGAGAAGUCAAUGCAAAAUCUGCAAACCAAGAUUGAUGCCAAGAAGGAACAGCUGGAAAAAGCCCAACAAGAGCUGGAAGAAGCUGAAGAUGAGUUAAAAGACAAAAAAGAUGCCAAAGCAGAGGCCAAUGUGCAAAAGAAAAAGAAGCUGUUGGAACGUCUGAAGGAGCAGCUGGCCAAGCUGAAUGUCCAGGCCACGGACAAGGAGGAGAACAAACAGAUAGCUCUGGGCACGUCCAAGCUGAAUUACCUGGAUCCCAGGAUUAGCAUAGCCUGCCAACUUGCUGAUGUGCUAUGUCUACACCAACCAGGCCAGCAAAGAUCAGUGCCUGGAGCCUUCCAGAUGUGUCAGAAAUGAGACAGUCUGCAUGAAUCCUAUUUUGAAGAUCAGUGUUGGAUGAUAUCAUGGGUUUUGGUGUCCCUCUGAACUUCCUCUGGCCAUGCCUUCACUGUGGUGAGCAAUGAGUAGUCGUAUCAGGUGCCUUAAAUGUGCAAGAUGCUCAUGACUUCUGCUUCAAGGCUGCUCACACAUCUGGCUGAUCUGUUCAGGACCUAAAGUUCACCCAGGUAUUUUUGCCUUCCCUUUCUCCAUCUAAACUCUUCUACAUGUUCUCUGAGUCUCUGCCAAUUCUUAUUCUGCAUCUCCAUCUCCUAAAUCCCAGGUUGUAUCCAGGUCCCUGUUCCUUCUUCAAUCCCAUUUUCUUUCCUCAGCCAAGUCUUGCAAGGUGGAGGAGUUGAGCAGAGCAAGCAGCUGUAAUCUGGUGGAGAAUCUGUUCCUGCUUUGUCCUCUCUGCUCUUUGGUGGCUGGGUCUAUGAUGAUUCAUGGAGAAGUCUGCAGAUUUCGUGCACCAGUUUUCCUGGUAGCUCUUUCCUUAGGAGCAGAAGUGUGACAAGCAGUCAAACAGAGGCUCCAGAUGGUCUUAAAUUAUCAGCUUCAGCUCCACCCAAAUAGAUAAACAUACAGAGAAGUCAUACGGGUGGGGAACCUUACAUUUGAAUGCUAUCUAGCAGCACUUUGCACUGGAUGCUCUGUGUAGAAGGGGCACAAAGGUGUUUUUACACUUUUCUCAGGUGUAGCAAAGCUGGAAACCAACUUCCAAUAUGCUAGCUCCUGUGUUUGAACACCAAAGCCAUUGUUCUCUUGCUGCAGCUCCUUUCACAAGUAGGAUGCAAAGCAUUUAGCACUUUAUAGGUAACCAGCAGCUUUUAUAGGCUACAGGAAAUCAUAAAACGUUUCCUGUUUAUAUUGUCAACCAUGAAUACAAAGCUCGAUCUACCCUGACUGUAGACAUAAGGGAGUUCUCCAGGUCUAAUCCUGGAAAGGCACUUGGCAGUCAUCCACACAAUGAAGGCAUUAAUUUAUGCUACUUAUUGCCAUUUUGCUUUGAGUAGAUGCCUUUGCUGAACUAUCUGGCCAUAGAUGUGGUGCAGUAGUGCUACACUGAUAGUACUACUAGCCUGACCAUAGAGACAUUAAAGCAUUUAAAAGCAAUAAAUAGGAUGAAUUGCCCUGGUGGUGCUUUCACUCAUCUUCAGACCCAUCAGACCAGCCCGAAGGCAAUGCCGAGGUGAGAAAACAACCAACGUGCAUUCCUAUCCUGUCAAAUAAUACAUGAUCCCUGCCCAUCUUUUAAAAUUGUUGUCUUCAUCAUCACUCAGUCCAAACGCAGGCAAGAUAUAUAUCCUGUCCCCAGAUGAGGGUGCUUUUCUUGAGCUGUGAAGACGACUGAGAAGAUGAAAGCUUCCCUCCUUGUCCUUCUGGCUUUGGUCCUAUGUGCACAUGAAGCAAAAGCCCUAUAUUGCUACACCUGUGAGUGGGAACAAAGCAACUGGAGCUGUCUGAAGGCUAAGAAGUGCUCAGACAAGGAUGAGUACUGUGUGACAAACGUUGCCGCUGUAGGAAUAGGUUCUUUGUCUUUCUGGAAGAGGAUCACUAAGAAGUGCUCCAAGACCUGUCCAUACCACAACUUCAGCCUGGGCCUGGCUACCUACACCUCGUUCUGCUGCCAGACCUUCUUGUGCAACCUACAUGCCUGCCCAGGACCCAGGCUUGCUCGACCAUAAGAUGUAGGGGCUCCUGAAUCAGUGCCCUUCACUUGCUCAGAGAAAAGGGCUCCUGAAGGCCUGAAGAACAUGGUCAGAUUUCCCCAGAAGGGUAUGUCGGGGGGAAGUCUUUCAGUGAGAGUGUGAUGUAGUCUUGGAACAGGUUGCCCAGAGAGGUUGUGGUGCCCUGACUAUGGAUGUGAUUGAGACCAGGUUGGACGGGGACCUGGGCAACUUAUCUAAUGGUUGACAACCUUGCCUGCGGCAGCGGGAUUAGAACUUGAUGAUCCUUGAGGUCUCUUCCAACCCAAGCCAUUCUACAGUUCUGACUCUAUGAUUCCAUGAUUAUGUGAUUCUAUGACUCUAUGAUUCUACGAUCUAUGGUAUGGACACCAUGCAUGCAUGCUAAGUAGAUAAAAUAUUAUGGUUGCCACCUCCUGCCCUGUGUUGCCUCUUCAUCUGGAGCUUCUUACUUGCUUCUUAUGCCUGAGUUCUGUCACCCCAGUACUUUGAUGGAGAAGUGGCCAUGCUAUGUCCUCUGCAGCUUGGAGGAGGGAGAUGCUGCUUCUGCACGGCCUGUGCCUCUCUGGAGGGAUUUCUCCUGCAGUCUUGCCUUGUCUUGGGUGCAGGUGGGAGCCAUACAGCAAAGAGCAGCUUUCCAGCCUUGGGAUAGAGGGUAGACCAGAAAUAAGUACUUCUUGGUGCCAAUUCAAAGUAAACUGUACAAACUCACAUCAUGUCUGAGGGGGAAGGGAAACAGUAUAAAAACCUAAGCUUGUAAUGGAUCUCAACCACAGAUUUUCUUCCUUGCCUUCUGCUGUACAGCCUCUUGCUCCUGGUCUUCAGCUAGUGCCAGUGACAUUCCUGUGCUACCAUGCCAUUAGCAGUUGACAUUCUUGUUGCUUUUGGCUCUGUCCAUGAUGCCACACUUUUAUAAAAAACAAACUGCUUAUCUGCAGUCUUUGUCCCCACCUCCAUUUCCAGGGGCUCUCAUUGGCCACCCCCUUCAUGUCGCCUUGCUUGCUUGCAGCUGCUGUUUGAGCCAAGUGAACCAGUUCCCCUGGAUCUAGCUCUUGGCAAUGCAUCAUCCUGAUGACAAUGAAUCAUUCAUUUACCCAUCCCUCGGACAUCCCUCAGAGCAACUGCAGGGUAAUGAAAAGUACUUGCAGCCUUUGGGUCAAUCUGGGGAGGAACAUCUGGAGAGGUUUAUGAGAGAAGAAUACAGAUUUUUGAGUAUUGCAUGUAGAUGUUUCCAGACGCUGCAGAGAAUGGAGGGUAAAAGGAAGCUGAAAAAAUGAAUGAUGAUAAUGAGAGCUCAGGGACUCUCCAUUGCCAGAGGUGUUGCUGAGUGCCUUUCCCUCUUCCCCAGAAGCACUUUUUGAAGGAGAAUGGAAAUGCACAAACUUGGAUAAGCUGGGAGGGUGGAGGAGCUCUUCUCAGGUCUGGGGCCAUGAUUUGGAUGCUGAACUUUUACACCACACUCCCAUGAGCAAAACAGAGCACAUCUGCAGCCCAGGACUCGCUUCACAAUCAACUCUCUCUGAGCUUUCAAAUCUGCAAAGUGCUGCUCAGCCAAAGGAUGACGCUCCGUGCUGUGUGGUGCUUCCAACCCAACGCUGGUAAACAAGGGGACAAAAGGGGCUUUGAUCCCUGCAGAGUGCAUCUCCCUGGGGCCGGUGCCACGGCUUCUCCGGAUGAAUGCCUCCUUCUGAAAUGCUGCAUAACGGCAGCCUUCAGAGAUGCAUGCUCUCUUUUAUUAAUCGGCUUCAGCUUUUCCUUUACCCCUACACCAAGCUGCAAGGGAAGCUCUCUGAGCUGAAGAAGCUGUGCUGACCAAUGCACCUCUCUUUACCUCUUAGACCACAAUCGUUUUCAUGCCCUAAUUAGGAAUCUGCUUCUUCUUUUCGCCUUGAAGCAAUCACAGCACCCCCCUGUCUCUAAGCCUGAGUGCUCAAAAGCUCUAAUUUACUCCAGACACAAUUUUUUAAUGUAAAAGAAACCCGACUUUGUGUGUGUGCAUAUUUUUGGUUGUUGUUUUUUGUUUUUUUUCUUUUCAGUGCACCAGAAUUAUUCAGCUCUCUGAAAGGAAUCCCAGUUGGACAGACUCUAAUAAUUAAUAUUUCAUUGCAUUGGAUUUACACAUCCUGCAGCAGCAGAGACAGUCCCCUGCAGCCUGCAGGAAAAGACAGGAUUGUUUUCUUCCCUUUUUUUUUUUUUUUUUUUUUUUUUUUUUUUUGCCAUUUUCAAGCAGAACUGUCUUAUUUUGCUUGGUUUGCUGGCUUGGUUUGCUCUAUCCUUGCUGCAGAAAAGCCUUCUUGUACCCCAUGGUAAAUAUAAAGAAACAUAAAUGUAAAGAGCAAAAGGUACUGCAGCUCUAAAGGCAUUAAAAUGUGACCUCCUCCCAUGGCACAAAACCAUCCUGGAGGAGCAAAACCUCUUAUCUGAGAUGUGUGGGUAGAAAAAAAACUUAGGUGCCAUGUCUAACCACUGAUUCUUCCCAGCAGUCAGAGUUGAUGGGGACCACAGAGAGGUAGCAAUCAUUAGCACAAGGAUGAGGCUGUACAGAGAAUUACCCCAUGGAUCCCAAGAACUUGAAUCAGACUUUUGGAAUGGGUACUGCACCAGUCCCUGCUUGUCCUAGCACAUGGCAUAAAGUGGAAGAGCACUUUGAGUUUGUCUUCCAAAGUGAUGGUAGACACUGGAGAGAAGCACAUGGAGGAAGAAGUGCCUGAGCAUGGCAGGAGGCAAACACUGCAUCCUUUCAGUGGCUGGAGCUGGCAUGUGCAUGCAGCAUAGAGGUGAAGAAACACACAAUUACAGAUGACAUAGUAAAUGCUUGAUUGCAGAUAAUAAAUAGCAGUUUAAAUACCUAAGUGAUGAGUCAAAUGGAAGGAAGGGGAAGCUGUGACGUAGCUGCUUUGGGGCCAGAUGG
RNA transcript from Lagopus muta (rock ptarmigan), 7726 nucleotides. It is a transcript of the gene named DNA topoisomerase I mitochondrial, with no coding region annotated. The transcript is spliced from 24 exons. The record is from RefSeq and is a predicted model, not a curated record. NCBI's taxonomy places the organism in Eukaryota, Metazoa, Chordata, Aves, Galliformes, Phasianidae.